This 8729-nucleotide long non-coding RNA is filed under the name Solanum tuberosum (potato). RNAcentral's name for it is "long non-coding RNA (STUB_LNC004188)". The record is from RNAcentral. Lineage: Eukaryota; Viridiplantae; Streptophyta; Magnoliopsida; Solanales; Solanaceae.
CUUGAAUCUGAAGGCAAAUGGGGAGUCCCUCCACCACUUGAAAAUGGAUCAGCAAAUGGUAUGCCCACCGCUCCAUCUAUUGGAGCUUCAGGCUCCGAUCAAGCACCAAGAUGACAAAGAAGCCUCUAAGCAAACAGUCUUGUGUCUUGUUUUGUUGAAUCUUGCCCAAAUUUCAGUUCAGACGGACGAGCAAAUGUUCGUUCUAGGAGACUAACCAGAAUCCUCCAAGUCAAAAGAUGAAGUGUAUGUAACACCCCAAAGAUUUGUUUUUCUUUGCAAUCGAAAGGGAAGGUGAAAUCUUCAGUGGAGCUAGGAGUCUCAGUGUAAUAGUCACAGCUUAAGAUUUGACUUGUUUUUUACACCAAUGUUGUGGCUUUCGUUUGUGGUAAUCUAUUAGCUACAGGACAUAAUUUAGCUCAGUACUCUCCAACAUGUAAAUUUCCAACUCGUGAGGUAAGAUGUAAUGUAAAAUGAACACUUUACUCUUUAUAUUCCUUAGUGUAGUGAGGAAUUCCUCCUAUCAGCUUUUUAUUUCGUAUGAUUCUUGAAUUGGAUUUUGGCAAGUCUCACCUCUUUAAGGGUCAACUUAUUAUGAACAACAAUCUGUGUUGUUUCUUUAAUAUCCAGUGACUGUCAUAACUGCUUCAAUCAUUUUCCUCUGAAAAUGGUGCUAAUUCAAUAUCCUCUGAUUUGGCUCAUAGAAGAAUUUCAUGAGAAAAGACGACACUCAUGUCAAAUCUGAGCUCUGAGCGGAUAACCAUAUUAAUUAUCAAUUCUGCCACCCCGAUAAGUAACAAUAAAAAUAAAUGUGAUAUUUAGACUAACAAUACAAAUGAAUAACUGUAGUAUAGUUUAGUUGAUUAUGGAUGAGAAUUUGAUUCCUCACAUUGCUCCUUCGUUUUCCCUUCCCCAAAUGUUUUUUUUAACCUUAGCCUACCCCCCACCAGAAGCAGUAGCAUGAUGGCGCAACACCAAAUUCAGAAUUCAGAAGUAGUUGCUGUUUCUUACAAAUUCAUGACAUUCUUCAUCCACAUUUUCCCUCAUAUUCGCAAUACCAGAGAAGCUUCAUCUAUCAUCUAUGGCAUGGCAGACCAAGAUACACGCAAGAAUGACAUCUACACAAACUUCAACAGACAAAUUAUUUACGUACAAUUCAAAAAAUAACAUAUUUAGGGUUUUGAAAACAUCCGGGUGUUGUGCAAUUUGAUACAACUAAAAAUCGAUUUUUGGCAGCUGAUGACGAUUUCUCAAUUAAAUUAUGGGAUAUGGACCAUGUUCAACUCCUGACAAGUAUUGAUGCUGAUGGAGGCCUUCCAGUAAGUUUAUGUUGAGGUUCACUGAGAAAAUUGUGGUAUUGUAUACUAUAUUCUAACUGCUUUUUUCUUUUAUAUCAAUAAAUUAUUCAAGGCAAACCCUCUAAUUCGAUUCACCAAGGAUGGUUCUCUAUUGGCUGUUUCUGCUAAUGAAAAUGGGAUAAAGAUUUUGGCAGAUAAUGACGGUAUUUGCUUCCGGGGCAUCUGAAACUGCAAAGGUACUUGUUACUCAGUUAAUAUAAAUCUUGAGGUUCCAUUUUUUCUUUACACAAACAUGACCAGGUGUCCUUUGCUUUAAUAUCAUGCAGCCUACAGUAAAUCCAAUAUCCAUAGCAUCAGCAAAUAAUUCUGGAUUUGCAGAUAGGGUGGCCUCUGUUGUUGGCAUCAGUGGAAUGGUUUGUAAAUUUAACUCCCAUAAUGUGAUUUGGAAUAACUUCUUGUUUGUUGUCAUCAGGGCGCAUGUUCAUGGAGAAAAUAUAUAUAAGCAUACAAACUCACAUUAUAAUUGUAGUUGUAUAUAGUCAAUUUUUUUUCACCUUUUAUCUUUUAAUUAAUUAAUACUGGUAUAACCUUUUCUCACUUGUUUAAAUCUCAUUUUUUGUUUACCAUUAUGUGUUGUUUUAUUCGUAUCGUUUAUAUUUAUAAAAUUCAAUGCAACAAAAUCUUUUUAUAAUUUCAUGCGUAUCAAGCAGUUGUUGAAUAAAAGUAUAGUAGAAACUGUACUUAAAUUAAACUAACAUAUAUCUUCCUUAUAAUGCUAAAUACAAUAUCUGUAGCAUCAGCAAACAAUUCUGCAGAUAGGGUGGACUGGCCUCUGUGUUGGCAUCAGUGGAAUGGUUUGCAAAUUUAACCCCCUAAAUGUGAUUUGGAAAUAAGUUCUUGUUUGUUGUUAUCAGGUCACAGGUCCAUGGAAAAAAUAUAUAUGAAACAUACUUCACUUUUUCCAUAAACUAGUUUUUGGACACGUGCAUUGCAAGUGUUUCUCAUGGUAAUUACUAAGUAAUUAACAAAUCACGUUAUAAUUUGUAGUUGUAUAUAGUCAAACUUUUUCACCUUUUGUCUCAAGAACCAGAUUAAUAUGUGCAUUUAAUAGUUGUUCUAUGUUCACUGUUUCAAAACCAAUGCCUUUGAUUUGAUUUAUAUGAAAUAGCAAGGUUGCAUAUUAGAAACAACCAUCGUUGAAAUAGCAAGGUUGCACCACUGGAAAGGUUUUCAUUACUUUUAUAAAAGUAUAUAUAAUUAAGAGAAAAAAAAUAAUAGCGAGUGCUUCUUAAUUUACUAACACUUAAAUAAAGAACAAUAUACAAUUUGAUGAAUGUCCAUAUGUUCUUACCUGAUGUGGGGUGCCCGUUUGAAGAUCCGGCUAAUUCAGAUUUGCUCAUGAAAGUUUCACUUUGAUAGUAAUCAUUGACAGUUCUCUAUUCCCAAAGUUCAAAUCCAGAAUUUUGUUAAGGGUGGAGGGGUACCUGCCGGCCCACCACAACAUUUGAUGGUAAUACUAACAGGAAUUAACACAGAAGAAAAUGAAAACAACAGCUUUAAUGGCAUUCCUUUGUUGUUUAUUCUGGAAAAUUCUUAUAUUACAAGCUACUUCUCUUUCCUCCAUUGUUUAAAUACCGAUUGUGAGAUAAGACAAAUUUAGAUGAAAGUAAACUUUUCAAAGGUAAUGCUUAUAUAUAAAAAUCUUUCUAUUUUAAAGAGAAGAAAUUAUUUUUCAUGUUAUUCUGCACAUUUCUUAGAUUAAUCUCACCAAAUAUUUAUUCCUUGUAGGCUGUAGUGAUAUUAGGGCUGUUGGAAAGCAAGGUAUGGGUGGAGUAUUUAUCUUCCACUUUUUCCUGUCUAUAUUUUUCCAAAUGAUAAAAAUGAAAGAGAUGGAAGCUUAUGUUUUUGCUUUUGCUGAAGAAGCUAGGGAGAGGGGACAAUAAUGGUAAAUUUGUAGGGAUAAGUCACGUGCAUGGCAUAUUUUCUGUUUGAAGCUGUUAGUUUUUGACAGAAAACUAAGAGAGGGAUGUAACUUGUAACUUCUAGGAUAGUUCAAGGAUGUUAUUUGUUCAUUGUUAUAAUAUGAGGAUGUAGUUUAAGUUUGGAUUAUAAUUGAGAGAUGUUUUUGGCCAUUUACUCUAAGUUGGUAUGUAAUGACUUCCUUGAACGGAUGAAACCAUUCCUUUUUUGUAUUCAUUACAAUUUCAGUUUUGGAGGUAAAAAAAGGCAUGUAAGAUUAAUGGUAUAAUAAUAACUUAUAUAAGCACUUAUUACAUUUUUUUGACGAAGUAAAUCAAAAGUUUAAAUUGUACUUCUCUGUGUGAUUCUUACAAUGUAUAUUUACAUAUUUACAAAACAAGGUAAUUGUAAUAAUGCUUGCACGAAGGGAAACUGUUGUUCAACUUUUGAUGGCUAUUUUGGUCUUUUUCCUUUUACCUUUUAAGGGAAUCAUUCCUCCUGUCAUUGACGCCUCGCCGUUCUUCAACAACUUUAGGGUUCCAAAUUGAACUUCAAAUCUGUUGAAUUAACUCCAAACAAUGGCGUCGCAUGUAAGUUCUUCUUUCCUUUUCAAUUUUAAGAUUUUCUUGUCUAAUAGUAAUCACUGUAUUUCAUUUGCAUAUCUGUAAUCAUAGAUUUUCUUUGUUAUUCAGUGUUUGUAACUAUAUGUUGUUCAAUUUGCCUCUGUAUCUCUUUUGCUCUCUUAUUUCCUUAUAUCGUGCUUUGAAUUCAAUUUUGCUUUUGAGCCGAUGGUCUAUCGAAAACCUCUCUACCCUCCCCAUACCCCACUUUGUGGGAUUGCACUGCAUAUGUUGUUGUUGUUGUAACUUUUAGGUUUGAGGCUUCCUACUUAUAGAAUAAGAUAGAUAUAUAAGAUGGAUAGAUAGAUACUCAUUAGGUUUUAAAAUGGAGGACACACCAAGAAGUCUUGUCUUGUCUGCUUUCAUGUCAAUAUCAUUUACUAACAUGUAUUUUACAUUCUACUGGCUUUGAUAGAAUGAAGAUGCAGGAAAUGUAACACCCCAGCUUAAUGUAGAGCCUAAUGACGAAUCUAAGAUGUGGAGGCUCACUGAAAUUAGAGAAUCAUCACAGUACCGGUCCUUGAAGCUUCCUGAAAAUCUUGGAGUGACUAAGGUAUUAUCCCCAUGUCUCUUGAUUCAUGAAAUAUCUUAUUGUGUUUGUUAUAUCAUUUUCAAAACUCGGAAACUUUUCCAUUGAACAUACAGAUAGCGGAUAAUUCAUGUAUAAAAUGAGAUGGAAGACUUUUUCAGUGAACAUGUUAAGGUUGGAAAUUUUAGUGUUUCUCACGAUGCCUUUGUGCACGAUCUGAUAUGAUCAAGGCACGUGACAUCAAAACAUGCCAUCAUCAAAUAAAAUUGUUAGUGUUAAGCUGAGUGGAAAUGAACCAUAUGAUCCAACAGUGUUGUGCUUCUCUUUUCAUAUGAAUGUGAGUUCUCCUGUUUGGGAGGGAAGGGUUCUUAGUUUCGCGUCCAUCUCUUUUCUCUAUCUUGGUCACCGGAUGUGAUUCUAUUGAUGUGAAAUUAAAAUUCCAAAGAAGGUGAACUUUCAGAAUGUCAUGGGAAGCUUAAGGCCUCCUAAAUGAGGUCUAGCACCUAUACAUUUUGUGUUUUAGUCUCUUUUCUUUUCCGUAAUAGAUUUUUCAACUUACAGUAAAGAGGAGUGGAUGUUCAAGUAUCACUUUCUGCACCUUCAGAGAUCCGUCUGUCGAUUUCCUUCGAGAUUGUCUAAUCAGAGCAGAAGGCCUCUAAAGUUUGUGUGCAAUGAUUUGACAACUUUAAUAGUGUCCAACUUUUGACUAGCAAUAGUAACUAAACGUCUGCAUGGUAUUUCAAGUUCACGUCUUGAGUGCUUUCUACUGAAUUGUAGCCAUGUUCCUUCCCCUUACCCCACAAUCUGGAAGCUGUUGUGUUCCGACUUUCUCUGACUGCACAACAUGGAUGUGAGGGCAUUGUAAUCAGAAUAUCAGAUAUUGAACAGAAAAUUUCACAGUGAAUUCUUACUAGGAAACAAUACUUAGCUGGAGAGUUUGUUUAGUUGUCAAUAUUUGUUCCCUGGUUUCAACUGUAUUAGUUUUGAUGAUACAGUUUCUGGUUAUGAUUCAAUUUGUUUACUCCAGAUAUCAAGCUUAAUAUAUACGAGCUCUGGUAAUGUUAUCUUAGCAUUAGCAUCAAAUGCUAUUCACCUGCUUUGGAAGUGGCAAAAAAAUGAGCGCAAUUCAAAGGGCAAGGUAAAUUGGACACAAAAAUCGUGGCUUUCCUCCAUUUUGUACAGAAGUGAUUCUGAGAAUUGUGUCAAUCUUUGUUUAGGCCACGGCCAGUGUUUCACCACAACUGUGGCAACCUUCAAGUGGCAUCUUAAUGACAAAUGAUGUGCACGAACCAAACCAUGAGGAAGCUGUCUGUUGCUUUGCUUUGUCCAAGAAUGAUGCCUAUGUGAUAUCAACAUCUGGUGGAAGGAUGUCCUUGUUCAACAUGAUGGCAUUCAAGGUAUUACAAGAUUUUCUUUUUAUUUCUACCCUUGACUCAAAGAUCCUGUGCUGAAUUAUUAUCUUAUGGAUGCAGAGAGUGAGAACUUUCAUGCCUCCACCUCCAGCAGCAACUUAUAUUGUUUUCCAUCCUCAAGAUAACAACAUUAUCGCUAUUGGCAUGGGUGAUUCUACCAUCCAGAUAUAUAAUGUCCGACUGGAUGUGGUAUGAUUAAGAUAAACAAGAAGUUUUUGUUGUUAUUGUCAGUCAUCAGAAAAUGUAAUGUUCUUGGCCCAGUUACCAUAUAUUGUUAUUGACUAGAUCUGAGUCUCUUGAUGAAGGUUAAAAUCAAGCUUAAAGGCCACUCUAAAAGGAUAACUGGCCUUGCCUUCUCUCAUGUGCUCAAUGUGCUAGUUUCCUCAGGAGCUGAUUCUCAGGUUAAUGACUUAUAUGCUUGGCUAUCAUGUCGUAUUUGACUUACUUCUCAGUGUUUUGUUAAACUAUUCUCACAAUUAAUGUGGAAAAUACAUGUGUAUAAUAGAUUGCAUUUUCUCUCCUAACGAUUUUGCAUAUUGUGCAUCAUACACUCUCCAUCCCAUUCAAUGUUAAGCCAAUCAAAUAGGCAUGGGAAUUAGAAGUAAUUUCACUGCAUGUCAUAUUUGAUGAUGAUAAAGGUGAAAAUUUUGAAUAAUCAAACAUGAAGUUGUUGUUUUGAAAGUGUUUCAAGCAUUUUGGAAGAAAACAAAAUCUAAACUAUAUAGCCUACAGAUGAGCCAAGUAUAUUGUAGGUUAUCUCCUUUUGCAUAAUCUCCUCUCUGCAGUCAUGAAUCAUGAUUAGUUUUUGGAUUUUUAACGUCUUUUACUGGUAACUAAUGCUAAGCCUACAUCCACAUCUCAAAUGAUCAUUAAUCUGUAAAAAAUUACACUCUGCAUUUCUGACACUCUUUAAAGGGAUAAUUAUUUAUAUUUCUCUUUGCUCUUUCUUAUCCUUUUGUAUUCAUCAACAUCAUCUGCUUUUGUACAGCUGUGUGUAUGGAGCACUGUUGGGUGGGAAAUGCAGAGGGCUAAAUCCUUGCAGUUACGGGGGCAAUCAAUAUCUCAAUCAGAUACCAGAGUGCAGUUUCAUCAGGAUCAAACUCAUUUCCUUGUUGUGCAUGAGGCACAGAUUGCAGUAUAUGAAACAGCAAAGUUGGAAUGUUUUAAGCAGGUUAGUCCUCUCCCGGACUACAGUUGGUUAUUAAAUGCAGUCAGAUCUCAACAACUAAUACUUUAUAUCUUCUUCUACAGUGGGUUCCGCGUGAAAGUGAUGCCCCAAUUUCUCAUGCCACAUACUCAUGUGAUAGCCAGCUUAUAUAUGCUAGUUUCUUGGAUGCAACUGUGUGCGUAUUCACUGCCGGGAACCUCCAUAUGCAAUGCUGCAUUAUUCCUUUUGCUUAUCUGUCACCCGGUAUCAGGUAUCUUUUGAAGCCAGCUAACUUAUUUAGGGGUCGUUUGGUAGGGUGUGUAAGAAUAAUGUUGUCAUUAGUAAUGCAAGCAUUAGUUAUGCCGAGAUUUUUUAAUAUGCAAUGUUUGGUUUGGUUCUUUAAAAAUAACACGUAUUGCAUUAUUUAAAAAAAAAAAAAUUGUUUACAAAUUACCCUCCAUCAAUAUGGUGGAAAGGACAUGGAAAAUGUUGAGGGACAAUUGUGUCUUUAACCAUUCGAAUGCAUGCAUUAGAACCCCUUGCAUUGCUAAUACCAUGAAUUUCUAUGUAUUGGUAAUACUUAGCAUAAUACCAAGUAGAGUGUAGUAUUAGUUAUACAUAUAUUGGAAGUGUAUCAAAAAAGGUACUAGUAAUACAUAAAACUAAGACAUGCAUUAUUUUUUCUAAUACACUCUACGAAACAACCUCUUACUGCUUUAAUUUUUAAGAUAUUUUGCUAUCCACUAUUGAAGAGAAGAAAACAUCAUUUUUCUUGUAGUUAGACUUUCAUGAGCUAUAAUAGUGAAAUUGGUAUCAGAACAAUAUCCAGUCCUGAAGUCUGAACUGCUACUAAUCACGGAAAGGUGAAAACCCCCCACAAACUUGGCCAUUGGUACAAAGAUAUGAACCAAUGCAUGGCUACAUUUGAACAUAACGUACAUUUAAUGCAUACAAGAGGACUACAAAAUUAACUAUCCUAGACCAUCUUGCUUUAAAAAAUUGACAUGAAUAUUUCAAAAGAAUUUCAUUUUGCAAUCAUGUAUUUGUAAAAUCAUGUUAUUACAAUGAAGUGGGGCAUCUGAUUGCCAGUAUGAACAUUUCUAGCAUCACUGGAGUAUCCCUCGGAAUAUUAUGUUUCAGGUGUUUGAUUUUUGCAACUUCUCUGCAUAUCCUCGUGUGCAUACAAUAAGUAAAUUUAUGUGUCUGAUAUCCUCAAGAAGUAAUGUCAGGAUACGUAGUCAAUUCACCAAACUGAUUUUAUCUCUGAUAUUUGAAGUAAUUUUUCAAUAACGUUGUCAUAUUUUUGCAGCAAUUCAAAUAUCCACCCAGUUGUAGUUGCAGCACAUCCAGAAGAUCCAAACCAAUUUGCAUUAGGUAUGUCAGAUGGUGGUGUUCAUGUUUUCGAACCACUUGAAUCUGAAGGCAAAUGGGGUGUCCCUCCACCACUUGAAAAUGGCUUUGCAGAAGGUGUACCAGCUGCUCCAUCUAUUGCAGCUUCAGGCUUCGAUCAAGCACCAACAUAACAAAGAAACCUCUAAGCAAACAGUCUCGUGUCUUGGUUUUUUUGGAUCUUACCCAAAUUCCAGUCAAACAUGAGAGGUGUAUGUAACGCCACAAAAAAUUGUGUUCUUUGACUUGGUUUUUACACCAAUGUUAUGCUUUUGUGUGUGGCAAUCCAUUUGCUACAGAACAUAGUUUAGCUCAGUACUCUCCAACAAUUUUUCCUUUCAGCUUUCUAAGAGCGAGUCCCUUUGACUUGUGACGUCU